Molecule: ribosomal RNA, 661 nt
Filed under: Bacillus sp. (in: firmicutes)
Lineage: Bacteria; Bacillati; Bacillota; Bacilli; Caryophanales; Bacillaceae
Description: Bacillus sp. (in: Bacteria) partial 16S ribosomal RNA
Source: RNAcentral
UGAAAAACGUUUUAGRUGCCUGGCUCAGGACUAACGCUGGCGGCGUGCCUAAUAAGAACCAAGCGGAGAGAAGGGAGCUUGGAUUAAAGGGACUGCGGCGGACGGGUGAGUAACACGUGGGCAACCUGCCCCCGUGACUGGGAUAACUCCGGGAAACCGGAGCUAAUACCGGAUAAUCCCUUUCUCCACCUGGGGAGAGGGUGAAAGAUGGCUUCAGCUAUCACUAGGGGAUGGGCCCGCGGCGCAUUAGCUAGUUGGUAAGGUAACGGCUUACCAAGACGACGAUUUUUUUUUCGACCUGAGAGGGUGAUCGGCCACACUGGGACUGAGACACGGCCCAGACUCCUACGGGAGGCRGCAGUAGGGAAUCUUCCCGCAAUGGACGAAAGUCUGACRGAGCACCGCCGCGUGAGUGAGAAAGGCCUUUCCGGGUCGUAAAACUCUGUGUUGAGGGGAAGAAGCCGGUACCCUUCGAAAAAGGGGGGGUACCUUGGAGGGGCCUCACCAGAAAGCCCACGGGUUUAAUUACUUUKCGACAGGCGCGGGUAUACAUUAGUGGGGAACGGGUUUCCCGAAAUAUUGGGGGGGAAAAGGCGGCCGGGGGGCUCCCUAAACCUAAAGUGAAAACCCGGGGGUCCCACCCAGCAGGGCGCUUAGGGAG